GACGAACGCUGGCGGCGUGCCUAAUACAUGCAAGUAGAACGCUGAAGGAGGAGCUUGCUUCUCUGGAUGAGUUGCGAACGGGUGAGUAACGCGUAGGUAACCUGCCUGGUAGCGGGGGAUAACUAUUGGAAACGAUAGCUAAUACCGCAUAAUAGCAGUUGUUGCAUGACAACUGUUUGAAAGGUGCAAUUGCACCACUACCAGAUGGACCUGCGUUGUAUUCGCUAGUUGGUGGGGUAACGGCUCACCAAGGCGACGAUACAUAGCCGACCUGAGAGGGUGGUCGGCCAAACUGGGACUGAGACACGGCCCAGACUCCUACGGGAGGCAGCAGUAGGGAAGCUUCGGCAAUGGACGGAAGUCUGACCGAGCAACGCCGCGUGAGUGAUGAAGGUUUUCGGAUCGUAAAGCUCUGUUGUAAGAGAAGAACGAGUGUGAGAGUGGAAAGUUCACACUGUGACGGUAUCUUACCAGAAAGGGACGGCUAACUACGUG
Molecule: ribosomal RNA, 495 nt
Filed under: uncultured bacterium
Lineage: Bacteria
Description: partial 16S ribosomal RNA
Rfam family: Bacterial small subunit ribosomal RNA
Source: RNAcentral